This 620-nucleotide long non-coding RNA is filed under the name Piliocolobus tephrosceles (Ugandan red Colobus). RNAcentral's name for it is "lncRNA (ENSPTEG00000000989.1)". Lineage: Eukaryota; Metazoa; Chordata; Mammalia; Primates; Cercopithecidae. The record is from RNAcentral.
UUCCCUUUUUUUUUUUUUUUUUUUUUUUUGUUUAAAAAUAUUUCAAGAAUCAUAGCAGGUUUUGCUGUUACAUACAUAGUUUUUUUUUAAAGAAUGGGUAACAAAUUAUCGACAGAAGAUCACAUUUUUCGUUUGAAGUUAAAAACGAAAGAACUAGAAAAGUUAUCACAAAGAUUAGAGGUAGAAGAAAAAAAAUUAAUUUCAGAAGUAAAAAGGGCAAUGCAAGCAGGAAAAAUUGAUAUAGCAAGAAUACACGCGGAAAAAUGCAUAAGAAAAAAAAAUGAAAAAUUGAACUAUCUUAAUUUAAGUAACAAAAUGGAUAUUCUUGUGUCAAGAUUAGAAGCAGCAUACAGAAGUGCAUCGGUUUGUUUAAAAUUAUUUAAUCAAAUAAGGGGAAAAAAUAGCACUUUUAUAGAAUAUAUGCUUAUGUAUACACAUAUAUAUAUAUAUAUAUAUAUAUAUUCACUCUCAUCUGUAUUUCUGUAUGUCUAUCUUAGUUAUUCCGUUAUUUUAUUUUAUUUUAUUUUUAUUUUACUUCAUUCAUUUUUUACAGUUAAUUAAUGAUGUUGGUCAAAUGGUACCUAUAAUUAAACAAAUAAAUGAAGAAACAAAUCUGGUCA